This 253-nucleotide ribosomal RNA is filed under the name uncultured bacterium. RNAcentral's name for it is "partial 16S ribosomal RNA". It matches the Rfam family "Bacterial small subunit ribosomal RNA", at positions 524 to 776 of the family's 1533-position model. The record is from RNAcentral.
GACGUAGGGGGCCAGCGUUGUUCGGAAUUACUGGGUGUAAAGGGUUCGUAGGCGGUGUGGCAAGUCGGGAGUGAAAUCUCUGGGCUCAACUCAGAGACUGCUUCCGAAACUGCUGUGCUGGAGUGUGGGAGAGGCGCGUGGAAUUGCAGGUGUAGCGGUGAAAUGCGUAGAUAUCAGGAGGAACACCGGUGGCGAAGGCGGGUCUCUGGGCCGAUACUGACGCUGAGGAGCGAAAGCGUGGGGAGCGAACAGG